GACGAACGCUGGCGGCGUGCUUAACACAUGCAAGUCGAACGGAAAGGCCCUGCUUUUGUGGGGUGCUCGAGUGGCGAACGGGUGAGUAACACGUGAGUAACCUGCCCUUGACUUUGGGAUAACUUCAGGAAACUGGGGCUAAUACCGGAUAGGAGCUCCUGCUGCAUGUUGUGGGUUGGAAAGUUUCGGCGGUUGGGGAUGGACUCGCGGCUUAUCAGCUUGUUGGUGGGGUAGUGGCUUACCAAGGCUUUGACGGGUAGCCGGCCUGAGAGGGUGACCGGCCACAUUGGGACUGAGAUACGGCCCAGACUCCUACGGGAGGCAGCAGUGGGGAAUAUUGCACAAUGGGCGGAAGCCUGAUGCAGCAACGCCGCGUGCGGGAUGACGGCCUUCGGGUUGUAAACCGCUUUCGCCUGUGACGAAGCGUGAGUGACGGUAAUGGGUAAAGAAGCACCGGCUAACUACGUG
RNAcentral lists this ribosomal RNA (468 nucleotides) under uncultured bacterium. Its description in RNAcentral is "partial 16S ribosomal RNA". It matches the Rfam family "Bacterial small subunit ribosomal RNA", at positions 28 to 507 of the family's 1533-position model. The record is from RNAcentral.